RNAcentral lists this long non-coding RNA (2678 nucleotides) under Equus asinus (donkey). RNAcentral's name for it is "lncRNA (ENSEASG00005023848.1)". Lineage: Eukaryota; Metazoa; Chordata; Mammalia; Perissodactyla; Equidae. The record is from RNAcentral.
CUCCCCACCAGCUGCAUAGGAGGAUAGGAGGGCACUCUUUGCAUUUUCCUAGGAAGAUUAGAGAAAACGUUGAUGUCGUUGUCACUUCCCAAUAGGCCCUGAGUAUCUUUGAAUUUUGCCUUUUUUGGAAAAUGGAACCUCGAUGAUGAGGGUCUCCAAACUUCCUUUAAUGUAAGAGAGAUAACCAUCAGCGUGUUUUGGAAGUCAAAGGGAUUCUCAGAACGUGUCACUGCCCUGUACACUGUUUCCAGACCUGGGAUGGGUGAGGUGGCCACAUAACAUUUCCCUCCGGGUCAGGGUCCGAUGAAGCCUCAGGAAGUUAGAGGGGAUGUCCCUCAGCCCCCAGUUUGGGCGGUUCUCAGUUCUGACCCACUGGACCUAGAGAGGGCCCCAGGCCUACUCAGACACCUGGGGUGGAUCUGGUUGGAGUUCAUUUAACAAUGUCUAUGAAGGACAUACUGUGUGCAGGGCAUCUGGAUACACACUAAGUGUCACUCAAUAAAUGAAGCAGACAGCCUCCCUGGGCCUCCCCUCUAAUCUGAGUCAGUCACACUUGACAUCAUUCCUAGGUCCCAUCUACCCUCCAUCCUGGGCGAUGCCCUCAUCCCCUUUGGGACACAUGGAGGCAGCUUGGCCCAUUGUGUGCGGGAUGCUGGAGGACAGCACCACCUCCCAAAGUGAGCGGUCUUUGAGUGCAGACGGAGGGCCUCCUGUCUCUAGCAAAUAGGGUGAGGGGAGAGGAUGGAGGUUGUGGCCGGGUCAGGCCUGGGAGACCCCUGCAUCUCACCCAUCUUGUGAUUCCCAUGGGAAGGCUGAGUUCUGGUGGCUUCCACUCCAGCAGGACUGGACUCAAAGAGAGCUAUCUAUGGGUCCCAGGCCCCCUGAGAACCGGUUGGGAGGCUGGGCUGAGUUGCUUCCUAGAGACCCAAUCCCAGCAGAGUCCCAGCUCCUUGUGCCUCCCUUUCUCCACAUCCACCACUUGUGAGCGCCACCAGCAGGUCCAUAGUAGGAGGUGCGUGAGCAAGCUGCUCACAGAUCUGCUGGAGUCUUCAUUCCAGUGACUCACAUACAUGGAGGGCUUGGGUGGGCUGUGUCCAGACCCUUGGGGAGGAGAGUGUCGGUGGGAACAAGAGACUCUCACAGACUCUGUGUUCAGCCUGCUAGGUGAGCAGGCCUGCCACUGCCAGGUCAGCCAGCCGGGGGCUCAGGGCUGGGAUGGGGCCCCUCCUCUGGAGGGGGAGGGGAUGGCACAGGGGCCCAGAUGCUAACAAGAGUGCCUUGGGCGGGCAGUGUUUAAGGAAAGGCCGGGCCACUGACUCUCUGGCCCAUCUGCCUCCCCGCAGUGCUAUUUCCUGCUGGGAACCUGGCUGGGCCAAGGGCAGGAUUGCAGGGAGCCCCUGCGGUUUCCAUGCUGGACCCUGCAGCUGGCCACUCUGCACGUCAGCUUUGAUGGCUCACAUGUGGAGGGCCAUGCCUACCUUCUGCCAGGCCACCUGGAGCACCUCAAGGCCAUUGAGGCUAAACAGAAAGAGCCAGCUCCAAAGCUCCUGCCACAUCCAGAGCCAGAGCCAGAGCCAGAACCAGCCCCUGGGCUAGAGCCAUCUUCAGCUCCAGCCCCACCACCCAUGGCAGAGCUGGAGCCAGCAUCACCUGCAUCGGACCCUACAGGGCUGGAGGAAGGGGCACCAUUAACUUCAGCCCCAGUGCCAGCUCCUGAACUAGAGUCCACUGGACCCUGGGCUGUGACCACCGAAAACCAGCUGAGGGAGGAGAAGUCAAAUAUCUUGGACUUCCCUCCCCGGCUGGUGGCAGAGCAGCUGACAAGCAUGGAGGCGGUGAGCAGCGGGGCUUGCAGGGAAGGGGGGCCCUGCCUUCCUGUGCCAUGAGCUGCCCCACACCUGCCAUUCCCUGAUCCAAAAUAUGAUGAUCUGGGUCCACAUUCCUGCCCCUGCCCCUUACCAACACUGUGACUUGGGCACUUUCUUAACCCCAAGCGCUCGCUGUCCCCACGUGCACAGCAGAGCCAGACACUAAGGGCACCUGCUGCACGGGGUGGCUGUGCCGAUGAAUGAGGUGGAACAGAGAGGAAGUUGGGCAGGGUCUGGCCCUUUGGUGCAGGAGGGAGCUCACGGAAGUGCUGCCAGGUCCUUGGGCCUAUCACGCGUGUGCCCAGGGGGCCUUCAAAUCCUCAGCACACAUCAAGCAUGUGAUGUGUACUGACUCCUCCAUCGGAGACAAUCACAUAAAGCCGAUGCUUCUCCCUGCCUCGGGGGAAUGUGCAUGGGAAUGGGGAGUGGGACCCGAGGGGGACUGCGAUGGGUGGAAGAUGUCCCUUGGGGUGGGCCGGUGAGGGCUGUGUUCCAGGAGCUUGGAGGAAGUGAGAUGGGGCUGGGAGCAAAUGCCCUCCCUUCUGCACAGCACUGUGUCCCGGGUCAUCUUGUGCUGACACCUUCAGUGGACACAGACAAAACCCAGGGAAUCCCACACACCUCAGAGAUCACAUCCUCUGCUUCCUGAGCUCCCGCUCUGUCCUCAACCCACCUGGGACUGUGGGGGACCAUGGAUGCCGGGCUGGGGUGAGGCAGUGUUGGCAACACUCUGAAUCUUCCUCAGGAGCUGUUCAAGAAUUUGGUGCCUGCCCACUGCCUGGGCUCCAUCUGGUCCCAGCGAGACAGCAG